This is a non-coding RNA of Paramuricea clavata, 819 nucleotides long. Lineage: Eukaryota; Metazoa; Cnidaria; Anthozoa; Malacalcyonacea; Plexauridae. The record is from the annotation of a GenBank genome assembly.
CAUCAGAUGUGAAAACGUGUCGAACAAAAUUUUAGACGAACAAGUCGUCUGAAUUUGUUCGACUACUUGUCCGUCUGUGAAGACGAUUUUUGAGAGACGAUUUGUUCGUCUAGACGACUUGUCCGUCUCUAAUGUGAAUAGGGCUAAUCUGUCAAUCCUUAAGUUCAAUUGUAGUACAUGCAGUACAACUGUAGUAUAGUUAUGGCCAGAAAUCACGGACAUAAUUAUUCUAUUUCCUUACUAAUUUGAACAUCGUGCAUGGAUGCAUAUAUAACCCGUUGAAAUAUGGCUUCUUCAUGCAGUAAACAGUAAAUUAUGUUACGCGAUGCUGUAAAUCGGAAAAUACGGUAGCUUAGUUCUCGACAUAUUUAGACCGAAAUUAAUAAGCUGUCCGCCAUAUUGGACAAAUUCUUGACCUCAUUAACUAUGAUUUUGAUGACGUCAGGAGUUGGGUUAACCAUAUAAAACUGCUCUAAAAUGACCGAGUAACAAUCCAGAAUUGUUUGAAAUGUUUUUAACAAUUUCUAAAGUUCAGACAGCAACCAGAAACGAAGUUUAAUUUGGACCCAUAUUGAUCGCUUACUCUCAAGAUAAAAAAUUAGCGUGACCCCUCUCUUGACGUAACAUGCAUAUCCUCAAUAAUCCAAGAUGGCGAACAGCUCACUUUUUCCAGUCGAAAUAUUUUGAAAACUAAGCAAGAUAUAAACAAUCUAUAGUAGAGUUUAAUAUAUAUAGUUUUAAGAGUUCUUUCAAAUGAACUAAACUAAUUUUUUAUUGCCAAUGUCCUUUACAGUCAAACCGGAUGUUCUCUUGCGAGCA